Molecule: long non-coding RNA, 465 nt
Organism: Lemur catta (Ring-tailed lemur)
Lineage: Eukaryota; Metazoa; Chordata; Mammalia; Primates; Lemuridae
Exons: 3
Source: RefSeq, a predicted model, not a curated record
CUCAUCACGGAAAAAAAGCGAAAGCUGAGAGGAGCUGAGACAGCAGCUUUAGGUGGGUUCAACCAGGAAGCACUCAACAUUGAGCCUGGAGGAGACUGGUCAUGCUGAUAGAAGAAGAGCUGAAAAGCCCAACAUGGGCAACGAGACACUCAGAGAUGAAGACACCAAUGCAGAGAGCUAGCUUGCUCAAAUUCACACGCAAGUCAAAGUGAAGCAAAAUUCGAAACCACAGUCACAUGCCUCCAAAGGACAUAAUCUUUCCUCUGCAUACAUUAGAUGCUGUAAGAUCUCAUUAAGAUGGGUGUUCAGAGAACAGCAAAGUCUCUAUUUCUUCACCUGAAAAAUGGAAUCUGGGACAACUCCCACAGGAAUCCUUUUAUCAGCAUAGGCUGGAAUCAUCUAGGAAGUUUUUAUAGAAAAGAUGGGGCUCUUCGUGGUCUUGAAGGGUAUGUGAGACUCAUGGAG